GGGUCAGUAGGUCGGUCGUGCCUACGGUAUGUACUGGCCUUACUGAUUCCUCCCUCUUGACGAACUGUGAUGCCAUUAAUUUGGUGUUGCAGGGAAUCAGGACUGUUACUUUGAAAAAAUUAGAGUGUUUAAAGCAGGCUAACGCUUGAAUACAUUAGCAUGGAAUAAUGAAAUAGGACGUUCGAUCCUAUUUUGUUGGUUUCUAGGAUUGACGUA
This 216-nucleotide ribosomal RNA is filed under the name uncultured fungus. RNAcentral describes it as "partial small subunit ribosomal RNA". The stretch from base 40 to 216 matches the Rfam family "Eukaryotic small subunit ribosomal RNA", at positions 686 to 864 of the family's 1831-position model. Lineage: Eukaryota; Fungi. The record is from RNAcentral.